UGGGGAAUAUUGGACAAUGGGCGAAAGCCUGAUCCAGCCAUGCCGCGUGUGUGAAGAAGGUCUUCGGAUUGUAAAGCACUUUAAGUUGGGAGGAAGGGCAUUUACCUAAUACGUAAGUGUUUUGACGUUACCGACAGAAUAAGCACCGGCUAACUCUGUGCCAGCAGCCGCGGUAAUACAGAGGGUGCAAGCGUUAAUCGGAAUUACUGGGCGUAAAGCGCGCGUAGGUGGUUUGUUAAGUUGGAUGUGAAAUCCCCGGGCUCAACCUGGGAACUGCAUUCAAAACUGACAAGCUAGAGUAUGGUAGAGGGUGGUGGAAUUUCCUGUGUAGCGGUGAAAUGCGUAGAUAUAGGAAGGAACACCAGUGGCGAAGGCGACCACCUGGACUGAUACUGACACUGAGGUGCGAAAAGCGUGGGGAGCAAAACAGGAUUAGAUACCCUGGUAGUCCACGCCGUAAACGAUGUCAACUAGCCGUUGGGAGCCUUGAGCUCUUAGUGGCGCAACUAACGCAUUAAGUUGACCGCCUGGGGAGUACGGCCGCAAGGUUAAAACUUAAAUGAAUUGACGGGGUCAUAGCUGUUUCCUG
Molecule: ribosomal RNA, 589 nt
Filed under: uncultured bacterium
Lineage: Bacteria
Description: partial 16S ribosomal RNA
Rfam family: Bacterial small subunit ribosomal RNA
Source: RNAcentral